Molecule: transfer RNA, 71 nt
Filed under: Lactobacillus sp. A27
Lineage: Bacteria; Bacillati; Bacillota; Bacilli; Lactobacillales; Lactobacillaceae
Description: tRNA-Cys
Rfam family: tRNA
About the family: Transfer RNA (tRNA) molecules are approximately 80 nucleotides in length.
Source: RNAcentral
GGCGGUAUAGCGAAGAGGAAACGCAAUAGGUUGCAACCCUAUAAUCGCUGGUUCAAAUCCAGCUACCGCCU